UGAGGGAAAGGUGAAAAGAACCCCGGUGAGGGGAGUGAAAUAGACCUGAAACCGUUUGCUUACAUACAGUGGGAGCACUAUGUGGUGACUUCGGUCACGACAAGUGUGACUGCGUACCUUUUGUUUAAUGGGUCCGCGAGUUACUCCUCAGCAGCAAGGUUAAGCCGCCAGGUGUAGCCGAAGCGAAAGCGAGUCUGAAUAGGGCGUCUAGUUGCUGGGGGUAGACCCGAAACCGAGUGAGCUAUCCAUGGCCAGGUUGAAGCUCAGGUAAGACUGAGUGGAGGACCGAACCGUAGUAGGUUGAAAACUACCCGGAUGAGCUGUGGAUAGGGGUGAAAGGCCAAUCAAACUCGGAGAUAGCUGGUUCUCCCCGAA
This 375-nucleotide ribosomal RNA is filed under the name uncultured Pelagophyceae. RNAcentral describes it as "partial Bacterial large subunit ribosomal RNA". It matches the Rfam family "Bacterial large subunit ribosomal RNA", at positions 504 to 863 of the family's 2925-position model. The record is from RNAcentral. Lineage: Eukaryota; Pelagophyceae.